AUUGAACGCUGGCGGCAUGCUUUACACAUGCAAGUCGAACGGUAACAGGUUAAGCUGACGAGUGGCGAACGGGUGAGUAAUGCAUCGGAACGUGCCCGAUCGUGGGGGAUAACGCAGCGAAAGCUGCGCUAAUACCGCAUACGAUCUGAGGAUGAAAGCGGGGGACCGUAAGGCCUCGCGCGAUCGGCGCGGCCGAUGUCAGAUUAGGUAGUUGGUGGGGUAAAGGCACACCAAGCCAACGAGCUGUAGCUGGUCUGAGAGGACGACCAGCCACACUGGGACUGAGACACGGCCCAGACUCCUACGGGAGGCAGCAGUGGGGAAUUUUGGACAAUGGGCGAAAGCCUGAUCCAGCAAGGCCGCGUGCAGGAAGAAGGCCUUCGGGUUGUAAACUGCUUUUGUACGGAGCGAAAAGGCUCUCUCUAAUACAGGGGGCUCAUGACGGUACCGUAAGAAUAAGCACCGGCUAACUACGUGCCAGCAGCCGCCGUAA
RNAcentral lists this ribosomal RNA (493 nucleotides) under uncultured bacterium. RNAcentral describes it as "partial 16S ribosomal RNA". It matches the Rfam family "Bacterial small subunit ribosomal RNA", at positions 29 to 523 of the family's 1533-position model. The record is from RNAcentral.